AUUGAACGCUGGCGGCGUGCUUAACACAUGCAAGUCGAUCGGUAACAGGUGUAGCAAUACAUGCUGACGAGAGGCGGACGGGUGAGUAAUGCUUGGGAAUCUGCCUAUUAGUGGGGGACAACCCGGGGAAACUCGGGCUAAUACCGCAUACGCUCUACGGAGGAAAGCCGGGGACCGCAAGGCCUGGCGCUAAUAGAUGAGCCCAAGUCGGAUUAGCUAGUUGGUAGGGUAACGGCCUACCAAGGCGACAAUCCGUAGCUGGUCUGAGAGGACGACCAGCCACACCGGAACUGAGACACGGUCCGGACUCCUACGGGAGGCAGCAGUGGGGAAUAUUGGACAAGUGGGGCAACCCUGAUCCAGCGACGCCGCGU
RNAcentral lists this ribosomal RNA (374 nucleotides) under uncultured bacterium. RNAcentral describes it as "bacterial SSU rRNA". It matches the Rfam family "Bacterial small subunit ribosomal RNA", at positions 30 to 402 of the family's 1533-position model. The record is from RNAcentral.